AUUAUACCUCACGAUCUAUCAUGCAGUCGUGCGGACCUUUUAAAGCUUGCUUUUAAAAGGUUAGCGGCGGACGGGUGAGUAACACGUGGGCAACCUGCCUGUAAGAUCGGGAUAACGCCGGGAAACCGGGGCUAAUACCGGAUAGUUUUUUCCUCCGCAUGGAGGAAAAAGGAAAGACGGCUUCGGCUGUCACUUACAGAUGGGCCCGCGGCGCAUUAGCUAGUUGGUGGGGUAACGGCUCACCAAGGCAACGAUGCGUAGCCGACCUGAGAGGGUGAUCGGCCACAUUGGGACUGAGACACGGCCCAAACUCCUACGGGAGGCAGCAGUAGGGAAUCUUCCGCAAUGGACGAAAGUCUGACGGAGCAACGCCGCGUGAGUGAAGAAGGCCUUCGGGUCGUAAAACUCUGUUGCCGGGGAAGAACAAGUGCCGUUCGAACAGGGCGGCGCCUUGACGGUACCCGGCCAGAAAGCCACGGCUAACUACGUGCCAGCAGCCGCGGUAAUACGUAGGUGGCAAGCGUUGUCCGGAAUUAUUGGGCGUAAAGCGCGCGCAGGCGGCUUCUUAAGUCUGAUGUGAAAUCUUGCGGCUCAACCGCAAGCGGUCAUUGGAAACUGGGAGGCUUGAGUGCAGAAGAGGAGAGUGGAAUUCCACGUGUAGCGGUGAAAUGCGUAGAGAUGUGGAGGAACACCAGUGGCGAAGGCGGCUCUCUGGUCUGUAACUGACGCUGAGGCGCGAAAGCGUGGGGAGCAAACAGGAUUAGAUACCCUGGUAGUCCACGCCGUAAACGAUGAGUGCUAAGUGUUAGAGGGUUUCCGCCCUUUAGUGCUGCAGCUAACGCAUUAAGCACUCCGCCUGGGGAGUACGGCCGCAAGGCUGAACUCAAAGGAAUUGACGGGGGCCCGCACAAGCGGUGGAGCAUGUGGUUUUAAUUCGAAGCAACGCGAGAACCUUACCACGUCUUGACAUCCUCUGACCUCCCUGGAGACAGGGCCUUCUCCUUCGGGGGACAGAGUGACAGGUGGUGCAUGGAUGUCGUCAGCUCGUGUCGUGAGAUGUUGGCUCAGUCCGCACCGAGCGCAACCCUUGACCUUAGUUGCCAGCAUUCAGUUGGGCACUUCUAGUGACUGCCGUGACAAACCGUAGGAAGGUGGAUGACGUCAAUCCUCAUGACCCUAUGACUGGCUACCACCGUGCUUACAUUGAAGUGUACAAAGUCCUUGCGAGAACACCCGCA
RNAcentral lists this ribosomal RNA (1238 nucleotides) under Heyndrickxia coagulans. RNAcentral describes it as "bacterial SSU rRNA". It matches the Rfam family "Bacterial small subunit ribosomal RNA", at positions 43 to 1272 of the family's 1533-position model. The record is from RNAcentral. Lineage: Bacteria; Bacillati; Bacillota; Bacilli; Caryophanales; Bacillaceae.